Quercus lobata is the source of this 1535-nucleotide RNA transcript. It is a transcript of the gene named beta-glucosidase 11-like, with no coding region annotated. Lineage: Eukaryota; Viridiplantae; Streptophyta; Magnoliopsida; Fagales; Fagaceae. The record is from RefSeq and is a predicted model, not a curated record. The transcript has 13 exons.
AUGUUGAGGCUAGUUUUGCUGACAAGUUUAGCAGCACUAGUUUUAAGCACUGAUAAAUUUAGCAGAGAUGAUUUCCCACCUGACUUUGUGUUUGGGGCUGCUGCCUCAGCUUAUCAGGUUGAAGGUGCAGCAAACCUAGAUGGAAGGACACCCAGCAUAUGGGAUACAUUCGCCCAUGCAGGGAAUAUGCAUGGAGCCAGUGGGGACAUAGCAUGUGAUGAGUAUCAUAAAUAUAAGGACGAUGUCCAGCUCAUGGAAGACACGGGGUUAGAAGCCUAUAGGUUUUCCAUAUCAUGGUCAAGGCUUAUCCCAAAUGGAAGAGGAGCUGUUAAUCCAAAGGGUUUGCAAUAUUACAACAAGCUCAUCAAUGAGCUAAUCAGCCAUGGAAUACAACCACACGUAACAUUACACCACACUGAUCUUCCUCAAGCACUUGAAGAUGAGUAUGGAGGAUGGGUUAGUCGGAAGAUUGUGAAAGACUUCACGGCAUAUGCAGAUGUGUGCUUCAGGAAGUUUGGUGACAGGAUAUCAUAUUGGACUACAAUGAAUGAGGCCAAUGUGUUCGUGCUUGAGGGUUAUGAUACUGGAUUUCUUCCUCCGCAGCGAUGUCCACCUCCAUAUGGAGGUAACUGCUCUACAGGAAACUCCUCAACUGAGCCGUACAUGGCAGCUCAUCAUAUCCUGCUGGCACAUGCAUCAGCUGCUAGAUUAUACAAGAAACGAUACCAGGACAAGCAGCAUGGUGUUAUAGGGCUCAAUGUCUUUUCCUAUUGGUUCAUUCCUCUAACAAACAGUACUGAAGAUAAAAUUGCCACUCAAAGAGCCAAUGAUUUUUUCUUGGGUUGGUUUGUGGAUCCCUUGGUAUUUGGAGACUAUCCUCAGACCAUGAAAAAGAUUGUAGGCUCUAGACUUCCAUCCUUUACCUAUGCUGAAUCCAGUCAGGUUAAGGGUUCAUUUGACUUCAUUGGAGUGAAUCAUUACAUCACAAUGUAUGUCAAUGAUAACCCGAGCAGCCUAAAUAUGGAAGACAGAGAUGUUUUGGCAGACAUGGCAGUACAGUUUACAAGAAUUCGAAAUGAUACGUCCAUAUUUGAGUAUCCAAUUGCACCCUGGGGUCUGCAAGGAAUCCUGGAGUAUAUCAAGCAAUUUUAUGGCAACCCUCCUGUCUACAUUCAUGAAAAUGGUCAACGAACAAGAUGUAAUUCAACACUGGAAGACUGGCCUAGGGUAAAAUAUUUGCAUGCAUAUAUUGGCAGUUUGCUUGAUGCAUUGAGGAAUGGAUCAAAUUCAAGGGGUUAUUUUACAUGGUCCUUCUUGGAUUUAUUUGAAAUGUUGGAUGGAUAUGAAUCAAGCUACGGCCUAUACUUCGUGGAUUUGGAUGACCCGGAUUUAAAAAGAUAGCCUAAGCUCUCUGCUCAUUGGUACUCCAAUUUCUUGAUCGGGAAAAACAUCAGUUCUGAUGGAUAUAUUGAACUUCAGAAGAAUAUAUCUGCAGUUUCUCCUUAUUUACUUGAGUAGAUUAGGCUUUGUACAUG